CCUACGGGAGGCUGCAGUGGGGAAUAUUGCACAAUGGGGGAAACCCUGAUGCAGCAACGCCGCGUGAGCGAUGAAGGCCUUCGGGUCGUAAAGCUCUGUCCUAAGGGAAGAAUACUGACGGUACCUUAGGAGGAAGCCCCGGCUAACUACGUGCCAGCAGCCGCGGUAAUACGUAGGGGGCUAGCGUUAUCCGGAAUUACUGGGCGUAAAGGGUGCGUAGGCGGCCGUUAAAGUCAGAGGUGAAAGGCUACGGCUCAACCGUAGUAAGCCUGUGAAACUGUAGGGGUUGAGUGCAGGGGAGGAGGGUGGAAUGCGCAGGGUGGCGGUUAAAUGCGUAGAAAUUGGGAGGAACGCCGGUGGUGAAGGGGGCGCUUGGGGCUGGAACGGACGCUGGGGGACGAAAGAGGGGGAAGGGAAAAGGAUGAUAGACCCCUGAAGUC
Molecule: ribosomal RNA, 440 nt
Filed under: uncultured bacterium
Lineage: Bacteria
Description: bacterial SSU rRNA
Rfam family: Bacterial small subunit ribosomal RNA
Source: RNAcentral